This is a long non-coding RNA of Parus major (Great Tit), 5013 nucleotides long. RefSeq lists it as uncharacterized. The record is from RefSeq and is a predicted model, not a curated record. The transcript is spliced from 8 exons. Lineage: Eukaryota; Metazoa; Chordata; Aves; Passeriformes; Paridae.
GGAGAGUCAGAGACGCAGCAUGUUCCAGCCUACAAGAGACAGCUACUAAAGCACCAUGCUUAAAAACCUUAUUUUCACCAGGAUGUAAAUGUUAUUUACAACUGCCUCUCCUUAUCAAUGGACUAAGGAGUACAUAAGAGCACAAUACAGUGCUUCAGGAUUCUGAACUUGCAGAAAGCACCAUGAUCCAUAUUUCCUACCCACUCCUGUCUCUGGACAAUGGUAUUGCAGCUCAAAUCCAGGAGCACGUGCCUGCCUGAGCCCCAGCAGUGUGUGGGCAGAGCUGACAGUCACUGAGUGAGUGGAGCAGAUGCUGAAGCACUGAGAGAAAAUCUGCAGAGCAGCAGAACUUGCCCAGAAGGAUAUUCUGUAAGUGCAGCAAGUCAACUGGCAAGGAAACGGGAGCAGCAUCCCCUGGGCAGGAGCAUGAGCUGGUACCACACUGUGAUCUUGUGUCUGUAGCCCUGAGAUCCUCUAAGGGUGCCCCUAAAGUGGGACUGGACUGAACAUCCCCAGUGCCUGAACCAACUCAGCACAGAACAGCCCCACCUGAGCCCAGAAAGUGGAUUUGGGAUUGCCCUGAGCAGCUGCUGCUUCCCAGUGCCUGCUGAGGAACACGGAGAAGUGCACUUUUAACACCCAGCAACAGAGAGUGAGAGCUGCUGCUGCUCAGAAGGCACAGGUUCCAUCUUAUCUGGUGCAGUUGGCUGGGUGCCUGUGUACAGUACAUCCAGUUUGUUUUUCCAGCAGCCACCACUGCAGUGGGAGCUGAGGUGGAGGAGUGGAACCUCCCCAAGCCUAAUUCCCAAAUCCAGGAAGGGUUUGCCAGCCUGAGUAUAUUCUAAGGUGAUGAAUACUGUGGGUGAGCUCUGUUAUAGCAAGACUUUGUGUAAAUUCAAUGUCUUUCAAUGAGUCAGCUCCAGAUUCUUUUGGUUUUGCUUUAGAAUGAUGUGAAACUCACAGUCUGGUUUGAUUUCAAUAUGAACACAGGUGAGACUUGUCAAUUCUGGCUCAAUUUUGCCUUGAAAGCUGAUGGUGCUUGGGUUUUUUUGUUCUUUUUUCCUAAGCCAAGUAAUCAAAUAGUAGGAAUAUAUAAAAUAUUUGUUUACCUGUCAAUAUUAAAUCCUGUGUUCUGGCCUUUACAAACUGAACUGUGGGUUUGUGGUUUGGUGCAUUUGCAAAUGAGGCCACGCUAAGAAAAAUUGAGCAAACACAAGCUGAGAUUUUUGCCAUUGCUAGGAAGUCAUCAGAUCCCUCUUCUCAUCUACACGACGAAAGAACAUGAGCUGGUAAAACAAAAUCUCUGAAAAGUUUUGUGUUUUCCUGCUUGAAUAAAACCGAGGGGAUAUGAACUUGUAUUUUCAUAUAUAUAAGUUAAAGUAGUCAUUUAAAUGUAUGGUUACACAAAAAUAAUCCUGCAGUAAGUCAAAUUCUCAAUUCAUGCCUUCAGACAGCCAACAUGAACUCAGAAAAGAGGGAAAGGGGUGAAUAAAAAGGGGAAAAUUAAGUGGAAGGUCUUGAAGGGAAAGGAAAUAACUGUGAGGAAUUAAAGGUAGAGAAAAAGUUUGAUAAAUAGGAAUAAGGUUCUGAGAUAAAGAACUCCCUCCUGUCCACAUGCAGGAUAUGUGGCUGAACCCCAAGACUCUGAUAGCCAAAUAAAAGUGCUGGAUGCACAGAAAUCCCUGCAUCUUCCCAUGGCAGAGAGCUUAGUUUGGGUCUGUCAUUACUGCCUGUGAAGCAAACAUGACUAUAAAAAGGGAAAAGUUCAUUUUAUUCUGCUUCAAUUCUUUCAUUUCAUUUCAUUUCAAUUCUCUUAUUUCCAACCAAAGUAGUUUUAUUCUUUAAACAUUUCUUCCCAUGCCAGUGGCCUUGCUUCCAACCUUUUGACUUUGGCAAGAAGCAGCCUAAGUCAAUAAAAAAGAACUCCAAGUGUCGUGCACAAUAAAGCCUUGGGUACAGUGUUCCAAAUGACUGUAAAGAAAAAUUUACUGAAAAGCAGGCAAAGAACUCAUAUCUAGAAAUCAAAUCUCUGCUUGUAAAAGUCAGAGGUUAAAUUCUUUUAUUAAAAAAGCACUUACAUGUAUCUUUCAGGCAUGCCCUAUCCUUGCUUAAAUAUUUGAGGGCAGGGAAAUCACCGGCAUAGGCAAGAACAUUUCCAUAGAUGUAUGUUAGAAAUCUACAGCACAAAAUUAAAUUACUUCCCUCUUCUAAAUGACAUUUCUACUUUUCACCUAUCAAGUACUAUGGGCUCUAAUACAACUUCUGAAAGGCAAAAGGAAAAGUAAAAUAACAGGAACAAAAGACACAUCCCAGUGUGUAUUUAUUUUACUUUGUAAUUCAUGUCAGUCCAAUUGUGCUGCAGGCUAUUUAGUUUAUGAAAUGCUGAAGUUUGAAAACUACACCCAGAAUUAUUUUUGGAUUGUAUUCUGAAGAUAUAUAACCCAGGAAUGAUUGAUUUGCGUGUUUUGAGGUUUUGUAGUUUGCUCAGUUUGUGCUUAAAUUCUAAUGCAGGAAGGCUUUAAAAAUCAUGUGCAUAACAAAGGGGGAGGAACAUCUUUAUCCAACUGCCAUUUUCUGAUGUGAAGACUAAAUUUUAAAAGUAGGCAUUGACUUUUAGAUGGUCAAAAUAGAAGUCCCUCUCUUGACUUCCACAAGUGGAGGGGAAGGAUUUGGAACUGCUUUCCUAGUUGUCCAAAGCAGAUCCAUAAAAUGGCUGCUUCUCUCAGGCUUUCACAAUCCCAUUAAUUUUAUUGUGUGAGGUACUGGUCUUCUGAGAGAUGGAGUUCAUUACUUCGUAUUUUGUGCCCCCCUUAAUGGAUAUGCUUAAUUAUACAGCUUCUGGUCUAAAUGAUGUUUUAGGAUGUUCACGUAUGGUUUCCCUUUGCUGGGAUUUGGGAACAAACUUCCACCACCUCUCUCAGAAAUGCAUUUUGGCCAUGUUGCAGAGCUGGGAACUUGCUGAAUGCCUGACCACAGGAGCCUUUUUCUGCUGUGCCCCAGUGCAAGGAAAAUUCAAUUUUCAGUUGUGCCCUGCCAGGGCUCAUUCUGUGGAUUGUCAAUGGCACUCGUGGUCCUGACUCCCUUUGGAGAUUUUCACCAUGGAAAAUAUUUCCCCAGAGCUGUCCAAGUACAGGGAUCACUUACCUUUUAUCUCCUGCUCAUCCUGUGGAAUAAAUAUCAAGAUCACCCACUCCUGGGUGGCAGGCUGGAGGAUUUUGGUUUGUUUCCCUCUCCAGAACCCCGAUGUUGUCACAGCUGAGUCUCCGCAGUCUGGGGGAAUUGGUCCCAUCUGGAGGGACUGAAAGCUCUGCACCCCCUGCUCUUGCUGUCAGUGGGGAACAGGAGAGAGAUCUCCCAGGGCUUUUGGCUCCCAGUCCCAAGCAGAAGUGGGAAAAGGAGGUUUUUUGAAGAGCCAUAGCCUGCGUGCAAGGAGGGAAAGCGCUGCAGAGGCUGCUGCAGGAGCCCUGGGCCUGCAGUGUGCCAUGCUCGCCUGCAGCCCAUGGCAAGAAGCAGCUCUGGAGGCUCCACCAGAGCUCCCAUUCCAUGCAAAGUCCUGUGAAAAAGCCCCUCACCCUUCAGUGGAGCCCUGGUUCCAUGUCCCUUGGGCCUGUGUGACAAUGGGAGCAGGGAACACACCUGGCUGGGAGUCAGGCUGGGACUGGCCUGGUUGUCACCAGCCCUGCCAGCCACACAAACUGACCCUGAGCUCAUUUUCAGGGUGUAAAACCAGAUCCCUGCCUCGUUGCUUUGGGCAAUUCACUGUCUGUGCCACCUGUCACACAAGGGCACACUCUUGUGACACCCAGCCCCGCUGCUUCAGGGAGCAGAGGCUUGCCCAAGCAUUUUGUGAAAUACAAAGGCAAACAAUUCCACAAUCAGCGCUCCUCAAAAAUGUAGACUGGCUUUUAUGUUCCUUUCCCAGUCAAACCUCCUCAAAACCUCAAAGGAUUCUUCUUUCAUAGACAAGAAGAGAAAUAUCACACAGAAGGGGACAAAGAAAAUCAUAAGAAAGCACCAGCUCUGGUCAUUAAUUUAUUUCCAUAAUGAACGUGCCCCAGAUUUUGGGCUCACUUUUUCCAGUUGUGGUUUAAAAUUCUGAAAAUUUGUUGCUUCCCCUCUGAAAAAAUGUAGAUUAUCUGACAUGGAAACUUAAGACCUAAUUCAUACUCCCAUACACCCAUCAUUUUUUUGCUGUAAAAUAAAGUCUAUGAAACCCCCUGUGUGGUGAGGGGAAAUGGAAAUAUACAGAGGGGGAUCUGACCCAAGAGAAAAUGCUUUCCUUUCUCAACUACCAAAAUGCAUCCUUUAAAUCCAUGCUCUCAGUCUAUUCCAUCCAGAUGGUUCCUGCUGCUCUUAUCAAUGGCAAAAUAUUCUAUUUAUCCUUCCAAUAUUUUUCUUUUAAACUGCUCUGGAAGGUAAGUGCGUGAAACUGAUCUUCAUAAAAAAUUGCAUCUUUGAAAUCAGAGCUUCAAUUUCACCAUAAUACUGAUAUAAAAAAUUGCCACUGAAGAGCUUCUUUUUUGACACAUUAAAAACAAAACUAUAGUUGAGAAACAUUACUGAACCUCAGCCAGAGACAGAAAAAAUAUGGCAUCCAGCUCUGUUUGCAUCUCACUGAUUUUAUACUGAUCUAGCCAGUGGCAGAAUGAUGGAUUUAAUUUGUUUUUGACUCAUGCUGUUUUAACUCCAGGAAUAACAAAACAAAAAAGCUUCUAUGUUUUAGACAGGUUGGCUUCGUUACACCAUCAGCACCAUUCCCCUUAUGGCCAAAGAAGUGUCAGUAUUAAAGAUAAUUACAAGUGUAAAAGAAACUCCAUAACCUAAAUUAGUGGAUGCACUAUGUUAUCUACAGAAAGAAGAACUGGGUGUGUUAUGUACUGUGCUCAAGGCUAACUAAAUUCCUUAGCUUUAGAUACUUUGGCAUUAAUUACCUGUAAUUAUUUUUGUCCUUUCAUUGUGAUUUAUGUUGGUCUGAAUCAUCACUAAAAACCUAAUUAAAUCAGCUAUUUCCUU